RNAcentral lists this ribosomal RNA (544 nucleotides) under uncultured bacterium. Its description in RNAcentral is "bacterial SSU rRNA". It matches the Rfam family "Bacterial small subunit ribosomal RNA", at positions 881 to 1334 of the family's 1533-position model. The record is from RNAcentral.
UACGGCCGCAAGGUUAAACUCAAAUGAAUUGACGGGCCGCACAAGCGGUGGAGCAUGUGGUUUAAUUUCGAUGCAACGCGAAGAACCUUUACCUGGUCUUUGACAUCCACGGAAGUUUUUCAGAGAUGAGAAUGUGCCUUCGGGAACCGUGAGACAGGUGCUGCAUGGCUGUCGUCAGCUCGUGUUGUGAAAUGUUGGGUUAAGUCGCGCAACGAGCGCAACCCUUAUCUUUGUUGCCAGCGGUCCGGCCGGGAACUCAAAGGAGACUGCCAGUGAUAAACUGGAGGAAGGUGGGGGAUGACGUCAAGUCAUCAUGGCCCUUACGACCAGGGCUACACACGUGCUACAAUGGCGCAUACAAAGGGAAGCGACCUCGCGAGAGCAAAGCGGACCUCAUAAAAGUGCGUCGUAGUCCGGAUUGGAGUCUGCAAACUACGAACUACCAAUAGAAAGUACGGAAAUACGACUAAGUAAAUACGUAGGAAUACAAGAAAUAGACCAACGGUAGAAAUAACGUUACCCGGGACCUUAGUAACAACAACCG